This 460-nucleotide ribosomal RNA is filed under the name uncultured bacterium. RNAcentral's name for it is "partial 16S ribosomal RNA". It matches the Rfam family "Bacterial small subunit ribosomal RNA", at positions 338 to 795 of the family's 1533-position model. The record is from RNAcentral.
CCUACGGGUGGCAGCAGUGAGGAAUAUUGGUCAAUGGCCGAGAGGCUGAACCAGCCAAGUCGCGUGAGGGAAGACGGCCCUACGGGUUGUAAACCUCUUUUGUCGGGGAGCAAAGCGAGUCACGUGUGACUCAUUGAGAGUACCCGAAGAAAAAGCAUCGGCUAACUCCGUGCCAGCAGCCGCGGUAAUACGUAGGGGGCAAGCGUUAUCCGGAUUUACUGGGUGUAAAGGGAGCGUAGACGGCGGGGCAAGUCUGGAGUGAAAGGCCGGGGCCCAACCCCGGGACCGCUCUGGAAACUGCCCGGCUGGAGUGCGGGAGAGGUAAGCGGAAUUCCUAGUGUAGCGGUGAAAUGCGUAGAUAUUAGGAGGAACACCAGCGGCGAAGGCGGCUUACUGGACCGUGACUGACGUUGAGGCUCGAAAGCGUGGGGAGCAAACAGGAUUAGAUACCCCUGUAGUC